This 921-nucleotide non-coding RNA is filed under the name Synapturanus sp. MZUSP 159215. Its description in RNAcentral is "12S ribosomal RNA". It matches the Rfam family "Bacterial small subunit ribosomal RNA". Lineage: Eukaryota; Metazoa; Chordata; Amphibia; Anura; Microhylidae. The record is from RNAcentral.
UAAAGGUUUGGUCCUAGCCUUACUAUCAACUAUUUCUCAACCUACACAUGCAAGUAUCCGCACACCCGUGAAAACACCCCCUAACCCACAGGAGUCAGGAGCUGGUAUCAGGCACAGAGCCCAUAACACCUAGCUACGUCACACCCACAAGGGCCUCAGCAGUGAUAGACAUUGACCAUAAGCGCCAACUAGAAUCAGUUAGAGCAAAUAGGGCCGGCAAACUAAGUGCCAGCCGCCGCGGUUAAACUUACGGCCCAACUUGAUAGAUAUCGGCGUCAAGAGUGAUUAGGGUUACACCACAAUUAGAAUUAAAUCCUAACCAAGUUGUGACACACUUGCUAGAAAGAACCACAAAACCGAAAGUUUUUCUAAUCUCCUUUUCCCGACCACACGAUAACUGAGAAACAAACUAGGAUUAGAUACCCUACUAUGCUCAGACGUAAAAUAUCAACUUACACUUUACCCGCCAGAGAAUUACAAGCCAAGCUUAAAACUCAAAGGACUUGACGGUGUCCCACCCUCCUAGAGGAGCCUGUAAUAUUAAUCGACAACCCCCGAUAUACCAAACCUUUUCUAGCCCAUCAGCCUGUAUACCUCCGUCGCAAGCCAACCCCAUGAGAGUCCUAGCAGGCCCAAUAAUGGUCAGUUAAUACGUCAGGUCAAGGUGCAGCCAAUGAAAAGGCAAUUAUGGGCUACAAUUUCUACCAUAGAACAUACGAAUUCUACAUGAAACCCAUCAUGAAGGCGGAUUUAGCAGUAAGAAGAAAAUAAAGAGCUCUUCUUAACAAGGCUAUGGGACGCGUACACACCGCCCGUCGCCCUCUUCUAAUCCCCUACAACAGCUAAAUAACACUCCAUAUCCCAAUAGAAGAGGCAAGUCGUAACACGGUAAGUGUACCGGAAGGUGUACUUGGUCUAACU